This 1432-nucleotide ribosomal RNA is filed under the name metagenome. RNAcentral's name for it is "bacterial LSU rRNA". It matches the Rfam family "Bacterial large subunit ribosomal RNA", at positions 1108 to 2556 of the family's 2925-position model. The record is from RNAcentral.
CAAAGCAGCCAUUCAUUUAAAGAGUGCGUAACAGCUCACUAGUCGAGCGGACGAGCAUGGAUAAUAAUCGGGCAUAAACAUAUUACCGAAGCUAUGGAUUUGUAAUUUAUUACAAGUGGUAGGGGAGCAUUCUAACAGGGUUGAAGGUGUGUUGUAAAGCAUGCUGGACUGGUUAGAAAAGAAAAUGUAGGCAUAAGUAACGAUAAUGCGGGCGAGAAACCCGCACACCGAAAGACUAAGGUUUCCACAGCUAUGCUAAUCAGCUGUGGGUUAGUCGGGACCUAAGGCGAACCCGAAAGGGACAGUCGAUGGACCACGGGUUAAUAUUCCCGUACUACUAAUUACUGUGAUGGGGUGACGGAGUGAUGAAAGCGCCGCGAACUGACGGAAUAGUUCGUUGAAGUACCUACCUAUAAGCUGCGCAGGCAAAUCCACGCGGCUUGGGGAAAUACGAUAGUACUCGGAGUCUUCGGACAAAGAGAUAGUGCGCCUAAGGGCUUCCAAGAAAAACCUCUAAACUUCAGGUAAUUAGUACCCGUACCGCAAACCGACACAGGUAGUCGAGGAGAGAAUCCUAAGGUGCUCGAGAGAUUCAUGGCUAAGGAAUUAGGCAAAAUAGACCCGUAACUUCGGGAGAAGGGUCGCCCCGAGUAAUCGGGGCCGCAGUGAAGAGGUCCAGGCGACUGUUUAUCAAAAACACAGGGCUCUGCAAAAUCGUAAGAUGAAGUAUAGGGCCCGACACCUGCCCGGUGCUGGAAGGUUAAGAGGAGAUGUUAUCUUCGGAGAAGCAUUGAAUUGAAGCCCCAGUAAACGGCGGCCGUAACAAUAACGGUCCUAAGGUAGCGAAAUUCCUUGUCGGGUAAGUUCCGACCUGCACGAAUGGUGUAACGAUCUGGACACUGUCUCAGCCAUGAGCUCGGUGAAAUUGUAGUAACGGUGAAGAUGCCGUUUACCCGCAGUGGGACGAAAAGACCCUGUGCACCUUUACUAUAGCUUAGUAUUGACCUUGGAUAAAUGAUGUGUAGGAUAGGUUGGAGACUGUGAAGUGGCGUCGCUAGGCGUUGUGGAGUCAUUGUUGAAAUACAACCCUUUGUUUAUCUGAGGCCUAACCCCGCGAACGCGGGGGACAUUGCUUGGUGGGUAGUUUGACUGGGGUGGUCGCCUCCAAAAGAGUAACGGAGGCUUCUAAAGGUUCCCUCAGUACGCUUGGUAACCGUGCGUAGAGUGCAAUGGCAUAAGGGAGCUUGACUGAGAGACAUACAGGUCGAUCAGGUACGAAAGUAGAGCAUAGUGAUCCGGUGGUUCCGCAUGGAAGGGCCAUCGCUCAAAGGAUAAAAGGUACGCCGGGGAUAACAGGCUGAUCUCCCCCAAGAGCUCAUAUCGACGGGGGGGUUUGGCACCUCGAUGUCGGCUCGUCACAUCCUGGGGCCAA